Long non-coding RNA from Scaptodrosophila lebanonensis, 159 nucleotides. RefSeq lists it as uncharacterized. The record is from RefSeq and is a predicted model, not a curated record. The transcript is spliced from 3 exons. NCBI's taxonomy places the organism in Eukaryota, Metazoa, Arthropoda, Insecta, Diptera, Drosophilidae.
UUUUAUUUUUUAUUUUUAUACAAAAGUAAAAAAUGUCGUGGUGUUAUUGAACAAACGCGCCUGAGCUAACACGGGUAAAGAAUCCUCUCGUGACAUUCAAGGAACGGACUGAACACUACAUAUUGGUACACAAUUGAAAGGAAAACUAUGACACUCAAU